Long non-coding RNA from Triticum aestivum (bread wheat), 370 nucleotides. RefSeq lists it as uncharacterized. The record is from RefSeq and is a predicted model, not a curated record. Lineage: Eukaryota; Viridiplantae; Streptophyta; Magnoliopsida; Poales; Poaceae. The transcript is spliced from 3 exons.
AAAAAAAGGCCCAUGCUGUAGAACUGGCCGGUGAUGUCUUUGGUUGUCAUGAGGCUGGCCGGUGAGAAUGCCACGUUGCCGGAGCCAAAUGAGCCCGGCGUAAACCUGCGGAGGAACAUGACAGAUACAGGAUUUUCUGAAAAUGAAAGCGAGUUCACCAUGACUACGACAGAUACUAGAUAAGCGGAAGCCGUGUUCGGAGCCACCAACAGUGUCUUCCUUGGAUUCGUUCGUGCAAUAAGGAGGGUACCCGGCCUUCUUCACGUGUCGAGCAACAAGGGUGAUCGAGGAGGAUUUUCGUGGCCCGGUGGGUGUCGUGCUCUUCAACCACUUGGAGGCGGACUUCACCGUGAAGCCUAGUGACUACUGC